AUUGAACGCUGGCGGCAGGCCUAACACAUGCAAGUCGAGCGGAGCGGCGGACGGGUGUGUAAUGCCUAGGAAUCUGCCUGGUAGUGGGGGAUAACGUCCGGAAACGGGCGCUAAUACCGCAUACUAUCAGAUGAGCCUCGGUCGUAUUGGCUAGUUGGUGGGGCAAAGGCCGAACAAGGCGACGAUCCGUAACUGGCCGGAGAGGAUGAUCAGUCACACUGGAACGGAGACACGGUCCAGACUCCUACGGGAGGCAGCAGUGGGGAAUAUUGGACAAUGGGCGAAAGCCUGAUCAAGCCAUGCCGCGUGUGUGAAGAAGGUCUUCGGAUUGUAAAGCACUUUAAGUUGGGAGGCGUUACCAACAGAAAAAGCACCGGCUAACUUCGUGCCAGCAGCCGCGGUAAUAC
This 407-nucleotide ribosomal RNA is filed under the name uncultured bacterium. RNAcentral's name for it is "partial 16S ribosomal RNA". It matches the Rfam family "Bacterial small subunit ribosomal RNA", at positions 30 to 526 of the family's 1533-position model. The record is from RNAcentral.